AUAAUGGGUCAGCGACUUAUAUUCUGUAGCAAGGUUAACCGAAUAGGGGAGCCGAAGGGAAACCGAGUCUUAACUGGGCGUUAAGUUGCAGGGUAUAGACCCGAAACCCGGUGAUCUAGCCAUGGGCAGGUUGAAGGUUGGGUAACACUAACUGGAGGACCGAACCGACUAAUGUUGAAAAAUUAGCGGAUGACUUGUGGCUGGGGGUGAAAGGCCAAUCAAACCGGGAGAUAGCUGGUUCUCCCCGAAAGCUAUUUAGGUAGCGCCUCGUGAAUUCAUCUCCGGGGGUAGAGCACUGUUUCGGCAAGGGGGUCAUCCCGACUUACCAACCCGAUGCAAACUGCGAAUACCGGAGAAUGUUAUCACGGGAGACACACGGCGGGUGCUAACGUCCGUCGUGAAGAGGGAAACAACCCAGACCGCCAGCUAAGGUCCCAAAGUCAUGGUUAAGUGGGAAACGAUGUGGGAAGGCCCAGACAGCCAGGAUGUUGGCUUAGAAGCAGCCAUCAUUUAAAGAAAGCGUAAUAGCUCACUGGUCGAGUCGGCCUGCGCGGAAGAUGUAACGGGGCUAAACCAUGCACCGAAGCUGCGGCAGCGACGCUGAUGCGUUGUUGGGUAGGGGAGCGUUCUGUAAGCCUGUGAAGGUGUGCUGUGAGGCAUGCUGGAGGUAUCAGAAGUGCGAAUGCUGACAUAAGUAACGAUAAAGCGGGUGAAAAGCCCGCUCGCCGGAAGACCAAGGGUUCCUGUCCAACGUUAAUCGGGGCAGGGUGAGUCGACCCCUAAGGCGAGGCCGAAAGGCGUAGUCGAUGGGAAACAGGUUAAUAUUCCUGUACUUGGUGUUACUGCGAAGGGGGGACGGAGAAGGCUAUGUUGGCCGGGCGACGGUUGUCCCGGUUUAAGCGUGUAGGCUGGUUUUCCAGGCAAAUCCGGAAAAUCAAGGCUGAGGCGUGAUGACGAGGCACUACGGUGCUGAAGCAACAAAUGCCCUGCUUCCAGGAAAAGCCUCUAAGCAUCAGGUAACAUCAAAUCGUACCCCAAACCGACACAGGUGGUCAGGUAGAGAAUACCAAGGCGCUUGAGAGAACUCGGGUGAAGGAACUAGGCAAAAUGGUGCCGUAACUUCGGGAGAAGGCACGCUGAUAUGUAGGUGAAGUCCCUCGCGGAUGGAGCUGAAAUCAGUCGAAGAUACCAGCUGGCUGCAACUGUUUAUUAAAAACACAGCACUGUGCAAACACGAAAGUGGACGUAUACGGUGUGACGCCUGCCCGGUGCCGGAAGGUUAAUUGAUGGGGUCAGCGCAAGCGAAGCUCUUGAUCGAAGCCCCGGUAAACGGCGGCCGUAACUAUAACGGUCCUAAGGUAGCGAAAUUCCUUGUCGGGUAAGUUCCGACCUGCACGAAUGGCGUAAUGAUGGCCAGGCUGUCUCCACCCGAGACUCAGUGAAAUUGAACUCGCUGUGAAGAUGCAGUGUACCCGCGGCAAGACGGAAAGACCCCGUGAACCUUUACUAUAGCUUGACACUGAACAUUGAGCCUUGAUGUGUAGGAUAGGUGGGAGGCUUUGAAGUGUGGACGCCAGUCUGCAUGGAGCCGGCCUUGAAAUACCACCCUUUAAUGUUUGAUGUUCUAACGUUGACCCGUGAUCCGGGUUGCGGACAGUGUCUGGUGGGUAGUUUGACUGGGGCGGUCUCCUCCUAAAGAGUAACGGAGGAGCACGAAGGUUGGCUAAUCCUGGUCGGACAUCAGGAGGUUAGUGCAAUGGCAUAAGCCAGCUUGACUGCGAGCGUGACGGCGCGAGCAGGUGCGAAAGCAGGUCAUAGUGAUCCGGUGGUUCUGAAUGGAAGGGCCAUCGCUCAACGGAUAAAAGGUACUCCGGGGAUAACAGGCUGAUACCGCCCAAGAGUUCAUAUCGACGGCGGUGUUUGGCACCUCGAUGUCGGCUCAUCACAUCCUGGGGCUGAAGUAGGUCCCAAGGGUAUGGCUGUUCGCCAUUUAAAGUGGUACGCGAGCUGGGUUUAGAACGUCGUGAGACAGUUCGGUCCCUAUCUGCCGUGGGCGCUGGAGAACUGAGGGGGGCUGCUCCUAGUACGAGAGGACCGGAGUGGACGCAUCACUGGUGUUCGGGUUGUCAUGCCAAUGGCACUGCCCGGUAGCUAAAUGCGGAAGAGAUAAGUGCUGAAAGCAUCUAAGCACGAAACUUGCCCCGAGAUGAGUUCUCCCUGACUCCUUGAGAGUCCUGAAGGAACGUUGAAGACGACGACGUUGAUAGGCCGGGUGUGUAAGCGCAGCGAUGCGUUGAGCUAACCGGUACUAAUGAACCGUGAG
RNAcentral lists this ribosomal RNA (2323 nucleotides) under Escherichia coli. RNAcentral's name for it is "partial 23S ribosomal RNA". It matches the Rfam family "Bacterial large subunit ribosomal RNA", at positions 612 to 2915 of the family's 2925-position model. The record is from RNAcentral. RNAcentral also lists the same sequence under 1 other name. Lineage: Bacteria; Pseudomonadati; Pseudomonadota; Gammaproteobacteria; Enterobacterales; Enterobacteriaceae.